UACGGAGGGUGCGAGCGUUACCCGGAUUUACUGGGCGUAAAGGGCGUGUAGGCGGUUUUCUAAGUCCGGGGCUAAAGACCAGUGGUCAACCCUGGGAUUGCCUUGGAUACUGGAAAACUCGACGGCUGGAGGGGGCAGCGGAAUUUCCGGAGUAGCGGUGAAAUGUGCAGAUACCGGAAGGAACGCCAAUAGCGAAGGCAGCUGCCUGGACAGUAUGUGACGCUGAGGCGCGAAAGCGUGGGGAGCAUCCCGG
This 253-nucleotide ribosomal RNA is filed under the name uncultured bacterium. Its description in RNAcentral is "partial 16S ribosomal RNA". It matches the Rfam family "Bacterial small subunit ribosomal RNA", at positions 524 to 776 of the family's 1533-position model. The record is from RNAcentral.